This 1061-nucleotide ribosomal RNA is filed under the name Amblytelus curtus. Its description in RNAcentral is "partial 28S large subunit ribosomal RNA". Lineage: Eukaryota; Metazoa; Arthropoda; Insecta; Coleoptera; Carabidae. The record is from RNAcentral.
GGUCCCAGCGUAUACGCUCUUGGUACGCCGCAACUUGCAAUAAGUAUGCGACGUCCCGGGAGUGCGAAUUAACAUAAAACGUCAACUAUCUUCCCUAAAUUUACCGAAGCAAAUUUUUACUUUCAUUACGCCUUUAGGUAUUGUAUGUACCCAAUGACUUGCGCACAUGCUAGACUCCUUGGUCCGUGUUUCAAGACGGGUCCUGAGAACAACCCAAAACAUUAUCGUCGCAGACGGAUGAAUAAGGCAAUAAAUACAAAUAGAGAACAUCACAACCAACAGUAAUAUACGCGCAAAAACGGUACUAGGUCCGUAUUCUACUGACCGUAUAUAUACUUGCUAUGAGCCUAUAUGAAUAAAAUAUGCGGCUUAUCAUCAUAUGUCAUACCAUCGGGUAGAUGUCGGGACACCAUAAGUCCGGUACGCACAAAUUAUAAAAUUUGACGCCACGGUCUCCAUUAUGGACCUUAGACAACAUACUCAAUGGGUCGCGACGUCCUACAAGGGGAGAAGUGCAUGCCUCCAAUAAUAGACUAAUAUACAAUAGCGGAGCAUAAUAUACAGACUACGUACCCUGCCGAAACAGAAUGUACGCACGCAUAAAACGUCUCAUAAAAAUAUCACCAUCAGUAUCGCUAUUAUUGGAAAAGGCAAAUGAAUCUCCCCGUUCGAACUUUCGGGCUUCUCAGGUUUACCCCUGAACGGUUUCACGUACUCUUGAACUCUCUCUGCAAAGUUCUUUUCAACUUUCCCUCACGGUACUUGUUCGCUAUCGGUCUCGUGGUCAUAUUUAGCCUUAGAUGGAGUUUACCACCCACUUAGAGCUGCACUCUCAAGCAACUCGACUCUAAGGAGAAACCCACCCAAACAUACUGUAUGGUCACUACGGGCCUAGCACCCUCUAUGGGCGAACGGGCCCCCUUCAAGAAGGACUUGGACGCAUCAGUAAUAUCUAGGUUAAACGGGCUCUCCCAAACACUACAUUGCCCAGCGACCGUAUACAAUCGCGGGCUUCAGUGCUGGGCUUAUCCCUGUUCGCUCGCCGCUACUAAGGGAAUCCU